AUUGAACGCUGGCGGCAGGCCUAACACAUGCAAGUCGAGCGAGCGGCGGACGGGUGAGUAAUGUAUGGGGAUCUGCCCGAUAGAGGGGGAUAACUACUGGAAACGGUAGCUAAUACCGCAUACCAUCGGAUGUGCCCAUAUGGGAUUAGCUAGUAGGUGGGGUAAAGGCUCACCUAGGCGACGAUCCCUAGCUGGUCUGAGAGGAUGAUCAGCCACACUGGGACUGAGACACGGCCCAGACUCCUACGGGAGGCAGCAGUGGGGAAUAUUGCACAAUGGGCGCAAGCCUGAUGCAGCCAUGCCGCGUGUAUGAAGAAGGCCUUAGGGUUGUAAAGUACUUUCAGCGGGGAGGCGUUACCCGCAGAAGAAGCACCGGCUAACUCCGUGCCAGCAGCCGCGGUAAUAC
RNAcentral lists this ribosomal RNA (406 nucleotides) under uncultured bacterium. Its description in RNAcentral is "partial 16S ribosomal RNA". It matches the Rfam family "Bacterial small subunit ribosomal RNA", at positions 30 to 526 of the family's 1533-position model. The record is from RNAcentral.